RNAcentral lists this ribosomal RNA (520 nucleotides) under Oncomelania hupensis nosophora. Its description in RNAcentral is "partial 16S ribosomal RNA". It matches the Rfam family "Bacterial large subunit ribosomal RNA", at positions 1809 to 2604 of the family's 2925-position model. Lineage: Eukaryota; Metazoa; Mollusca; Gastropoda; Littorinimorpha; Pomatiopsidae. The record is from RNAcentral.
AAAAACAUGGCUCUUUGAAAUUGAUAUAUAAAGAGUCUGGCCUGCCCAGUGAUGUAUUUUUAACGGCCGCGGUACUCUGACCGUGCGAAGGUAGCAUAAUCAUUUGCCCUAUAAUUGAGGGCUAGUAUGAAUGGUUUGACAUGAGCAUAACUGUCUCCUUAAAAUUUUAUAAAAUUUGGUUUUUAGGUGAAGAAACCUAAAUUAAAUUGAAAGACAAGAAGACCCUAUCGAGCUUUAGAAUAAUUAAUUAAAAAAUAUAAAUGAAACAAUUAAUUUUAAUUAAAAACUUUGGUUGGGGCGACUAAGGAACAUAUAAAGCUUCCUUAAUUAAAUAAUGCUGAUAAGCAAUGAUCCAGGAAAUCUGAUUAAGAAAAUUAGUUACCGUAGGGAUAACAGCAUAAUCUUUUUUGAGAGCUCUUAUCGAAAAAAAGGUUUGUGACCUCGAUGUUGGACUAGGAUAUCCUAAAGAUGUAGAAGUCUUUAAUGGUUGCUCUGUUCGAGCAUAAAAAUCCUACGUGAU